This is a long non-coding RNA of Physella acuta, 304 nucleotides long. RefSeq lists it as uncharacterized. Lineage: Eukaryota; Metazoa; Mollusca; Gastropoda; Physidae. The record is from RefSeq and is a predicted model, not a curated record.
CGGGAUCUUACAGUUAAAAAUGAAAUUGAAUUACAUACCUUUAGACACAACCGUCUGAGACGUAGUCCGACAGAUUUACAUGUUGAUGGAGAUGUUAUGAUGGAAGACGAAAGAAACUAUCACAUUUACAGGCUGUUGAAGCUGUGAUGAUGGAAGACGAAAGAAACUAUCACGUGCGGAGUCGCCAACUUUCCCUCUGAAUGUACGGUGACCUACGACUACACCAAAAAGUACCCUGCUUGCUGUGAUCCUACCCUUGAUUGCCCAUCGGAUUUAAAUGAAGAUUAAAUUGUUUACGUACUUU